UACGUAGGGCGCAAGCGUUGUCCGGAAUUAUUGGGCGUAAAGAGCUCGUAGGCGGCUUGUCACGUCGGGUGUGAAAGCCCGGGGCUUAACCCCGGGUCUGCAUUCGAUACGGGCAGGCUAGAGUGUGGUAGGGGAGAUCGGAAUUCCUGGUGUAGCGGUGAAAUGCGCAGAUAUCAGGAGGAACACCGGUGGCGAAGGCGGAUCUCUGGGCCAGCACUGACGCUCAUGCACGAAAGCGUGGGGAGCAAACAGG
RNAcentral lists this ribosomal RNA (253 nucleotides) under uncultured bacterium. RNAcentral's name for it is "partial 16S ribosomal RNA". It matches the Rfam family "Bacterial small subunit ribosomal RNA", at positions 524 to 776 of the family's 1533-position model. The record is from RNAcentral.